RNAcentral lists this long non-coding RNA (1309 nucleotides) under Anas platyrhynchos platyrhynchos (common mallard). RNAcentral's name for it is "lncRNA (ENSAPLG00000023405.1)". Lineage: Eukaryota; Metazoa; Chordata; Aves; Anseriformes; Anatidae. The record is from RNAcentral.
AAAUGAAGAUUAAACAUAAAUUACAGCUGUAAAACAAGGUAAUCAGAAAUGUGAACAUGACAGUAUUAGGACAGCCGUGUGCCUUAAUCUGAUGCCUACAGGUAUGCAUACCUAUUGGUAUACAUACUGUGAGAACUACUACAUGAUCACAUACUGUGUUUUUCCAUCGAGUCCCUAUUCUGUUUAUUGAAUGGCAUGGACAGAGAUUGCUGAAUGAGACAGGUGAUCAAUUUUCAUUUAUUUAUGUAUUUUUAACCUUGUUUUCUUAAGAAAUGAUCUUCCUGUUAUUGUCUGCUGCCCACUUUUCUCUCUAAUGCCUUUAAGUCUAGUGGACUCACCAUGCUCCUCACAAUGCUGUCCCAGCAGCAGGCAGACACCAGACAAGGAAUUUUUAUAGCAUCAUGGACUUUCUUCUGGCAAAUGAGCACCUCACAAGUACUAAAAAGCUGUUCUGGUUUUGGUCCUUUGGAAUACAGAGAAAACCAGCUUGAACCCCAAAAUGGCUGUUUUGCACCUGUCUUCUGCCUCAUCCUGCUGUCGCUUGCAGGUUGCCAGGGAGCCUGGGGGACCCACCAUCUGACAUCCAUAGCACUCGGCUUCUAUCCGAAUAUGUCUGAGAAUCCCACUGAAGCGUGGGAUGACAAGUUCCCUCUUUCUUUUUGCAGAAUUACUUCUCAUCCACAAUUAAGGUAAUAAACUGUUUCUGCCAACCUGUUAUUGUGUUAGCAUUCGGAUCACUAUCAGUCACUGCAGAAUUAUAAAAAUGGACCAGAAAUACUUUUUCAAGGACAUCUCCUAAGUGACUUUGUUUUACGUUUACCUUGGAGACCAUGAAAUCUGAAAAGCCUUAGUGACUUAAGUCACAGUGAUGGUACAGCACAAACAGAAGUUACUUGGGCUUUCCUUCCUUGCCCCUAUAUUCUGCUUCAAUUUUGAUGUAGAAAGAUGACACCCAGCUGUGGGAGAAUAAUUCAUUGCACAAUCUGGUCCUUAACCUGACUACUAAGAUCGAGAACAAGGGUGUCAAUUUGUGCCAGCUGUUACUCUGUUGGGGAGAUGUGGGCCAUUUACCAUGACGUAGACCAGGACCACAGCUUAUUUUAAAAAGGUCAUUAAGCACUCAUCAGAAUAGCAAUAAUUCCAGUCAUUCCUGAAUUGGGACAGAUUCAGGCCUAAUUUAAUAGAACAGACUCUACUAAGGGUACUGAAGGUAAACUCUGGGCAAAGAGCGAUAUCAGAAAGGAAACAUGAAAACCAGUGCAGGGACAAAGAAACUUAAUAAACCCGUUAAUUAUUUUUAUUAAAAACA